This 508-nucleotide ribosomal RNA is filed under the name uncultured bacterium. RNAcentral describes it as "partial 16S ribosomal RNA". It matches the Rfam family "Bacterial small subunit ribosomal RNA", at positions 28 to 507 of the family's 1533-position model. The record is from RNAcentral.
GACGAACGCUGGCGGCGUGCUUAACACAUGCAAGUCGAACGGGCCUUGUCCCCUUUUUUUUUGGGGGUGGGGUUAGUGGCGAACGGGUGAGUAACACGUGAGUAACCUGCCCCUCACUUCUGGAUAACCGCUUGAAAGGGUGGCUAAUACGGGGUGUUCUGGCCCGCUCGCAUGGGUGGGUUUGGAAAGAUUCGACCGGUUUUGGUUGUUUUGGUGGGGGAUGGGCUCGCGGCCUAUCAGCUUGUUGGUGGGGUGAUGGCCUGCCAAGGCUUUGACGGGUGGCCGGCCUGAGGGGGUGGGCGGUCACACUGGGACUGAGACGCGGCCCAGACUCCUACGGGAGGCAGCAGUGGGGAAUAUUGCACAAGGGGCGCAAGCCUGAUGCAGCGACGCCGCGUGAGGGAUGGAGGCCUUCGGGUUGUGAACCUCUUUCGCCAGUGAAGAAGGUCCUGCUCUUUGUGGUGGGGUUGACGGUAGCUGGGUUAAUGAAGCGCCGGCUAACUACGUG